GGCAGGCGGGCAGCGCGGAGCAGGCAGCCCAGCGCGCAGCCCACCGCCGCCCCGCGCACCUCCCGCGGCCGCUCGUGUCGCCGCCGCCGCGCGUGGAGGGAGCCCAGCAUGGCCGGGCCGGGCUGGCCGCGCCGCGCCUCCCGGGGGCCCGGGGCGCUCCUGGCCGCCGCGCUCCUCUACGCCGCGCUGGGGGCCGCGGUGCGCUCGGAGCAGCAGAUCCCGCUCUCCGUGGUGAAGCUCUGGGCCUCGGCUUUCGGCGGGGAGAUAAAAUCCAUUGCUGCUAAGUACUCCGGCUCCCAGCUUCUGCAAAAGAAAUACAAAGAGUAUGAGAAAGACGUUGCCAUAGAAGAAAUCGAUGGCCUCCAACUGGUGAAAAAGCUGGCAAAGAACAUGGAAGAGAUGUUUCACAAGAAAUCUGAAGCAGUGCGGCGCCUGGUGGAGGCUGCGGAAGAAGCACAUCUGAAACAUGAAUUCGAUGCAGACUUGCAGUAUGAAUACUUCAAUGCUGUGCUGAUCAAUGAAAGGGACAAAGACGGGAACUUUUUGGAGCUGGGGAAGGAAUUCAUCUUGGCCCCAAAUGACCAUUUCAAUAAUCUGCCUGUGAACAUCAGUCUCAGUGACGUCCAGGUGCCAACGAACAUGUACAACAAAGACCCAGCAAUUGUCAAUGGUGUUUAUUGGUCUGAAUCCCUAAACAAAGUUUUUGUGGAUAACUUUGACCGUGACCCGUCUCUCAUAUGGCAGUACUUUGGAAGUGCAAAGGGCUUUUUCCGGCAGUAUCCAGGGAUUAAAUGGGAACCAGAUGAGAAUGGAGUCAUUGCCUUUGACUGCAGGAACCGAAAAUGGUACAUCCAGGCAGCGACUUCUCCGAAGGACGUGGUCAUCUUAGUUGACGUCAGCGGCAGCAUGAAAGGUCUCCGCCUGACCAUCGCCAAGCAGACGGUCUCGUCUAUUCUGGACACGCUGGGGGACGAUGACUUCUUCAACAUCAUCGCUUAUAACGAGGAGCUUCACUACGUGGAACCUUGCCUGAAUGGAACGUUGGUGCAAGCCGACAGGACGAACAAGGAGCACUUCAGGGAGCACCUGGACAAACUUUUUGCCAAAGGAAUCGGGAUGCUGGAUAUCGCUCUGAACGAGGCCUUCAACAUUCUCAGCGAUUUCAACCACACGGGACAAGGCAGCAUCUGCAGCCAGGCCAUCAUGCUCAUCACCGACGGGGCGGUGGACACCUACGACACGAUCUUUGCCAAAUUCAACUGGCCAGAGCGGAAGGUCCGCAUCUUCACGUACCUCAUUGGACGGGAGGCGGCUUUUGCAGACAAUCUCAAGUGGAUGGCCUGUGCCAACAAAGGAUUCUUCACCCAGAUCUCCACGUUGGCUGAUGUGCAGGAAAAUGUCAUGGAAUACCUCCACGUGCUGAGCCGGCCCAAGGUGAUUGACCAGGAGCACGACGUGGUGUGGACCGAAGCUUACAUCGACAGCACCCUUGCCGACGAUCAGGGCCUUGUCCUGAUGACCACAGUCGCCAUGCCCGUGUUUAGUAAGCAGAAUGAAACCAGAUCGAAGGGCAUUCUUCUAGGCGUGGUUGGCACAGAUGUCCCAGUGAAAGAACUGCUGAAGACCAUCCCCAAAUACAAGUUAGGGAUUCACGGUUAUGCCUUUGCAAUCACAAAUAAUGGAUAUAUCCUGACGCAUCCAGAACUCAGACCACUGUACGAAGAAGGGAAAAAGCGAAGGAAACCUAACUACAGUAGCGUGGACCUCUCCGAGGUUGAGUGGGAAGACAGAGACGAUGUGUUACGAAAUGCCAUGGUGAAUCGAAAGACAGGGAAGUUUUCCAUGGAGGUGAAGAAGACAGUGGACAAAGGGAAACGGGUUUUGGUGAUGACAAAUGACUACUAUUAUACAGACAUCAAGGGUACUCCUUUCAGUUUAGGUGUGGCGCUCUCCAGGGGCCAUGGGAAGUAUUUCUUCCGAGGGAAUGUAACCAUUGAAGAAGGCCUGCAUGACUUAGAACACCCCGAUGUGUCCUUGGCAGAUGAAUGGUCCUACUGCAACACGGACCUGCACCCAGAGCACCGCCAUCUGUCUCAGUUAGAAGCGAUUAAGCUCUACCUCAAAGGCAAAGAACCUCUGCUGCAAUGUGAUAAAGAACUGAUCCAGGAGGUCCUUUUCGAUGCUGUGGUGAGCGCUCCCAUUGAAGCCUAUUGGACCAGCCUUGCCCUCAACAAAUCUGAGAAUUCUGACAAGGGCGUGGAGGUCGCCUUCCUUGGCACUCGCACCGGCCUCUCCAGGAUCAACCUGUUUGUUGGGGCUGAGCAGCUCACCAAUCAGGACUUUCUGAAAGCUGGAGACAAGGAGAACAUCUUCAAUGCAGACCAUUUCCCUCUCUGGUACCGAAGAGCUGCCGAGCAGAUUCCGGGAAGCUUCGUCUACUCCAUCCCCUUCAGCACAGGAACAGUCAACAAAAGCAAUGUGGUGACAGCGAGUACCUCCAUCCAGCUUCUGGAUGAGCGGAAAUCCCCCGUGGUGGCAGCUGUCGGCAUUCAGAUGAAACUCGAAUUUUUCCAGAGGAAGUUCUGGACCGCCAGCAGACAGUGUGCCUCUCUGGAUGGCAAAUGCUCCAUCAGCUGUGAUGACGAGACUGUGAACUGUUACCUCAUAGACAACAAUGGAUUUAUUCUGGUGUCUGAAGACUACACACAGACGGGGGACUUUUUUGGUGAGAUCGAGGGAGCUGUGAUGAACAAAUUGUUAACAAUGGGCUCCUUUAAAAGAAUCACCCUCUAUGACUACCAGGCCAUGUGCAGGGCCAACAAGGAGAGCAGCGACGCCGCCCGGGGCCUCCUGGAUCCUUAUAAUGCUUUCCUUGCUGCAGUAAAAUGGAUAAUGACAGAACUUGUCUUGUUCCUGGUGGAAUUUAACCUCUGCAGUUGGUGGCACUCGGAUCUGACAGCUAAAGCCCAGAAAUUGAAACAGACCCUGGAGCCUUGUGAUACUGAGUACCCAGCAUUUGUCUCCGAGCGCACCAUCAAGGAGACCUCAGGGAACAUUGCUUGUGAAGACUGCUCCAAGUCCUUUGUCAUCCAGCAAAUCCCAAGCAGCAACCUGUUCAUGGUGGUGGUGGACAGCAGCUGCCUCUGCGAGUCCGUGGCCCCCAUCACCAUGGCGCCCAUCGAAAUCAGGUAUAUCCUUCCGUGUUAGGCCCAGCUGCUGCUGCUGAUGGGGUAAGGGGAUCAACUGCCAGGAAAGCUGGGGGAGGAGUAAAUGAUAUCUUCCCACUGUUGGAGAGAAAGAAAUUGUCAAGGGAUUUUAGUGCCAACAUGCAGUGCCAAUGCAGAUUAGGGCGAAGUACCAUUUUGGAAAUUUGCCUUAACUACAGUCAACAUAACGAAUCUCUUAAGUGUGAGCGUUUAAAGGCCCAGAAGAUCAGAAGGCGUCCGGAAUCUUGCCAUGGCUUCCAUCCUGAGGAAAAUGCGAGGGAAUGUGGGGGUGCACCCAGCCUCCAGGCCAAGAUGGUCCUUAUCCUGUCCCCUCUGCUUCUGCUGCUCUUCUUAAGGUGACACUGACCGAGAUGUUCUCCCGGCAUGCUAAAUAAUGGAUAAACUGUGAACCAAAAUAUGGUGCGACAUAGGAGACAUGAAAUAUAGUCCAACCAUCAGCAUCUCAUGAUUUUAAACUGUGCGUGAUAUAAACUCUUAAAGACAUGUUGACAAAAAUGUUAUCUUUUUACUUUGCCAGUCAUGUAAAUGUGAGUUUGCUACAUGAUAACCACCCUUCAUCAGAAACGGGGCUGCCAGUGGGCAGUGUCCCUUCUGCUUGAAACCCACUGAAACCAAUUUAAAACUGUGUACUUUUUAAAUAAAGUAUAUUAAAAUCAUAA
Molecule: RNA transcript, 3886 nt
Organism: Myotis myotis
Lineage: Eukaryota; Metazoa; Chordata; Mammalia; Chiroptera; Vespertilionidae
Gene: CACNA2D3
Gene name: calcium voltage-gated channel auxiliary subunit alpha2delta 3
Exons: 36
Source: RefSeq, a predicted model, not a curated record